CCUCAACCAUCUGCAGAACCCCGGCGACGGCUUGGACGGCAGGGCGGCCAAGAGAUGCGAGAAGGCCGAGGAGAAGGCCAAGGAGAUCGCGAAGAUGGCAGAGAUGCUGGUGGAGCUGGUGCGGCGGAUAGAGAGAAGCGAGUCGUCCUGAAGGAGCGCGGGCGGUUCACAGCUGAUGGAUGCUGGUCACCUGGGCUGACACCAGGAGAAAGCUGAAGUAGCUUGUUUAUUCUGUUUUUGUAUGUUUCUUAUCUGCAUGCGACAGUCUCCUUCAGGGUCAGUGGUUGUGUAAGCGAGCCAAAAGAGAAUUCUUCCCUCGGAUGCACAGCAAGCCAGUAAAAGACUGACAUGGAGAUUUUGCAAUGAGGAAAGGUAGGCUAUUUAUUGGAGAACAGGGAGCUAAGGCUUCAAGUCCCAAACUGCCCGAUGACUUACAGGUGAGGGUUUUUAAGCGCAAAAUUUGGUCAGGGGGUGUCUCAGCAGGUGGAUGCUGUUGGUGGUUUGGAGGUGAAGUUGUGUUCACAGGCUUACUUAGUUAUUCUGGUCCCACAGAGGUCUGUCUGUUCAAUUUCGAGAGACUUAGAAUUUGAAGAAUGUCUUUCUUUCUUUCUUUUUUUUUUUUUUUUUAAAGAUUUUAUUUGUCAGACAGAGCGCACAAGUAGCGGGAGCCCCAGGCAGAAGGAGAAGCAGGCUCCCCACUCUACGAGGAGCCCAAUGCGGGGUCAGUCCCAGGACCCUGGGGUCAUGACUUGAACCAAAGGCAGAUGCCUAACUGACUGAGCCACCCAGGCGUCCCCAAAAUGUCUUUCUUUUGUUAGAGAUUUCAUUAGGUACAUCUGGUGAUUCUGUGGUUAGGAUAGUGUUGAUCAGUGGCUUGUACACGCCUAAAUAAGCUACUUGUCUGGGCGUAAGUUAACGGGCUUGGAUCCUUUGUGUUCCUUUGAAUGAUCAAGUAUGCCUGGGUCUUGAGCCUGGGUCUGUGUGUUUCCUGGCCAGUCCAGCUGUGCCCCGGGAAGAUAAGACCUCUUAAGUUCAAAUCAGACAUGUGAUCGAUAAGUGUUCAUUUGCCUUGAAAAAACAAAGAUCUGUAGAAAAUCUUUUUUCAAAUAAAGAUGUUGUGCAGAAGACCAAA
This is a long non-coding RNA of Mustela lutreola (European mink), 1132 nucleotides long. RefSeq lists it as uncharacterized. The transcript has 2 exons. Lineage: Eukaryota; Metazoa; Chordata; Mammalia; Carnivora; Mustelidae. The record is from RefSeq and is a predicted model, not a curated record.